AAUUGAUUUGGCUAGAAAAGAAAUUCAAAUUUGCCGCCUAAAUUUGAGUGUUGAAGUGUGUUCAAUGCUUGGUUUCGCAUUAAGUACCCGUCAAAUUUGAGGGAGAAAAGGGGUGUGGGUGUUGGGUAGCCAGCACAUAUGCACAUAUCAGGUAAAAGUGUAAUAGGACCUGUGCAGGUGUUUGGGGUGACUUUAGACCUGUUAGAUAGGAUAUUUGGAGGUGCAAAGAAACCGGAUGUGCCAUUUUCCUAGAUUGUAGUAACUCCUGGUGCAUGCUGGGAGUCUACAAGCCUCAUGUUGUCAGAUGUUGUGAAGAUGCACUGGAUUUGACCGUGUGUGUUGUGGAUUGUGGAAUUGAAUAUACAGUUUGUAAUGGCUCAUCCUAUGUGUUCUAAUUCACGGAGACAAUGUCUUUCAGUCAUUUCACCCAAGGAGGCAUGCAUAUACGGAUUGAUAGGCUUUGACAACAAACAACCAAAAUGGCGACCGGUGACCAUUAGAAAGUGUCUGAGUGCAUGUAGGAUAUCUGAACGGAGAAUAGGAGUACUGCAUCCCAUCUGAUCCUGCAGUCAUUUCACCCAAGGAGGCAUGCAUAUACGGAUUUAUAGGCUUUGACAACAAACAACCAAAAUGGCGGCCGGUGAAUUAGAAAGUGUCUGAGUGCAUGUAGGAUAUCUGAACGGAGAAUAGGAGUACUGCAUCCCAUCUGAUCCUGCAGGUAAGUGUUUAUUUGUUUACAAUGGCAGUCGGGAUGGAAUGUCAAUGAGUUCAACUGUCAAGUAAAGUUGCAUCAUCAUUAU
Long non-coding RNA from Ostrea edulis (European flat oyster), 800 nucleotides. RefSeq lists it as uncharacterized. The transcript is spliced from 2 exons. The record is from RefSeq and is a predicted model, not a curated record. Lineage: Eukaryota; Metazoa; Mollusca; Bivalvia; Ostreida; Ostreidae.